UAGGAUGUUGGCUUAGAAGCAGCCACCCUUUAAAGAAAGCGUAAUAGCUCACUGAUCGAGUCGUCCUGCGCGGAAGAUGUAACGGGGCUAAGCGAUAAACCGAAGCUGCGGGUGUGUACUAUGUACACGCGGUAGGAGAGCGUUCUGUAAGCCUGCGAAGGUGGCUUGUGAAGGCUGCUGGAGGUAUCAGAAGUGCGAAUUCUGACAUGAGUAGCGAUAAAGGGGGUGAAAAGCCCCCUCGCCGUAAGUCCAAGGUUUCCUGCGAACGUUCAUCGGCGCAGGGUGAGUCGGCCCCUAAGGCGAGGCAGAGAUGCGUAGCUGAUGGGAAGCUGGUUAAUAUUCCAGCACCGUCGUACAGUGCGAUGGGGGGACGGAUCGCGGAAGAUCAUCAGGGUGUUGGAUGUCCCUGUUGCUGCAUUGAAGAUGGCGCUUAGGCAAAUCCGGGCGCGUAAAUCAAGGGUGUGGCUCGAGCGAGCAUGUCUCGCGAAGUGAUUGGAAGUGGUUCCAAGAAUAGCCUCUAAGCUUCAGCUGUACGAGACCGUACCGCAAACCGACGCAGGUGGACGGGAUGAAUAUUCCAAGGCGCUUGAGAGAACUCGGGAGAAGGAACUCGGCAAAUUAAUACCGUAACUUCGGGAGAAGGUAUGCCCCGGUAGUGUGAGGCGCCUGCGCGCUGAGCAUGAUGGGGUCGCAGAGAAUCGGUGGCUGCGACUGUUUAUUAAAAACACAGCACUCUGCAAGGACGAAAGUCGACGUAUAGGGUGUGACGCCUGCCCGGUGCCGGAAGGUUAAGUGAUGGGGUGCAAGCUCUUGAUCGAAGCCCCGGUAAACGGCGGCCGUAACUAUAAUGGUCCUAAGGUAGCGAAAUUCCUUGUCGGG
This 879-nucleotide ribosomal RNA is filed under the name Bordetella holmesii. RNAcentral's name for it is "bacterial LSU rRNA". It matches the Rfam family "Bacterial large subunit ribosomal RNA", at positions 1094 to 1976 of the family's 2925-position model. Lineage: Bacteria; Pseudomonadati; Pseudomonadota; Betaproteobacteria; Burkholderiales; Alcaligenaceae. The record is from RNAcentral.